RNAcentral lists this transfer RNA (87 nucleotides) under Polyporus arcularius HHB13444. It matches the Rfam family "tRNA". From Rfam's summary of the family: Transfer RNA (tRNA) molecules are approximately 80 nucleotides in length. Their secondary structure includes four short double-helical elements and three loops (D, anti-codon, and T loops). Further hydrogen bonds mediate the characteristic L-shaped molecular structure. tRNAs have two regions of fundamental functional importance: the anti-codon, which is responsible for specific mRNA codon recognition, and the 3' end, to which the tRNAs corresponding amino acid is attached (by aminoacyl-tRNA synthetases). tRNAs cope with the degeneracy of the genetic code in two manners: having more than one tRNA (with a specific anti-codon) for a particular amino acid; and 'wobble' base-pairing, i.e. permitting non-standard base-pairing at the 3rd anti-codon position. The record is from Rfam by way of RNAcentral. Lineage: Eukaryota; Fungi; Basidiomycota; Agaricomycetes; Polyporales; Polyporaceae.
CCUUCGAUAGCUCAGUUGGAAGAGCGUGGGACUGUAAUGGUUACCUAAGGCAUCCCAAGGUCACUGGUUCGAUCCCGGUUCGAAGGA